Molecule: long non-coding RNA, 728 nt
Organism: Manduca sexta (tobacco hornworm)
Lineage: Eukaryota; Metazoa; Arthropoda; Insecta; Lepidoptera; Sphingidae
Exons: 2
Source: RefSeq, a predicted model, not a curated record
CUAUUGGACCCCACUACACAUAACAUCAAGAGCAUUGACGUGCUUGUAAAAAAAAAAACUGUGUGAUGUGAACGCGCAAAUGUACAACUACACAGCCGACUGACUAUAAAAAAAACCUUAUCUUAAGUACAGAUAGCGAUAAUGGACACUCCAUAUAUCGGUAUAUAAGGCACUAAAGUUGCUAAACUAAAACAAAAAAGAAAAGGAAUUAAAUUAAAAGAAAUUGAAUAUAUUUAUUAAAAAAAAAGAAGUUUGACAGUGAAAAAUGAAUGUAAAGGUUAAAGUCUGCAUCAAGCUUUCAGCAGAUACAACAUGGGUUGCUUGUGAAUAUUGGCAUAAGUAUCAACGGAUUUUCAGAACCAUUUUCAAAAAGGGUGAGGUUGGUAAAGACUAUCAGCUUCUGCAGGCUAAAAGCAACUAUUUUAUUUAUCAUCGAAAUUUCGUAAUAUUGAUCAAUUUAAUAUUAUUGUUCCAUCUAAAGCCACUACUCACUCAAUUGUUUUGCCUUCACAAAACCCGUCCACUAACACUUUUUACUCGCAACCAAUCUCGUACUUCAAGGAAUAUUAUAAAAAAAUAAUUUACGAAAUCGGUCCAGCUGCGUCUUUCAAGACCCAAUUCUAAAGAUUUUUAUUGUCAGACUUCAUUGAAGGUAGGAGAUGUAAUGAUUAAUAUUAAUAAAAGCUAAAAAUAUAAAACGUUAAUAAAAUAAUGAUUAUAAAUAAAAU